Ipomoea triloba (trilobed morning glory) is the source of this 893-nucleotide long non-coding RNA. RefSeq lists it as uncharacterized. Lineage: Eukaryota; Viridiplantae; Streptophyta; Magnoliopsida; Solanales; Convolvulaceae. The transcript has 2 exons. The record is from RefSeq and is a predicted model, not a curated record.
CUCAUGGCUUUCUUCCUACAUAUUAAUACCAUCUCCAUAGAGUAUAUCAUUCCAAAAGCCUAGGGAAACAAGAUGGUGCCAUUAUAGAUGUUCCACAAGAAUGAAAUAAGUUUACAGAUAUUUCCAACAGUAGUCAUAAACCAAACAUGGACAACAUGAAGAUUGAAAGGGCAUAUCACCAUAUGCAUUCCAAAUAUAGCCAAGUUAGAAAUAUAUACACACACACAAAGUGCCCAAUUUCUUCAAUUUUUCAAGCAAUAGAUUCAAAACAAAAUAUUUGUUGCCCUAAUAUCGAGGAGGGAGAAUCGCAAAUGUUACCUGAAGGUUAUGCUGUUUAAUGUGAGCCCAAACCUGCUUGACAACUUCAGUGCGAGGGGCCUCAGCAACGCCGCCGAGGAACGCCUGCAUUUCCGGCGAGACGCGCCGUGGCUUCAUGAUACCUCGGACAGGGCUCUUCUUCGUCUCCGAUGCCGGAUUCGAAGAAGCUGCGAAGCUCACCGUACGCGCGGGCUGCAGGUUAGCAAAAGGAGGAGCCGCAAGCCUAACAGAAGACGGCGACACCGACGGCUUCAACAACGCCGCCGUUUCUCCGGUAACAAAGCCGGAAAACAUCCCCAAGGACAGAGCCAUUACGCCGGAACUUAGGAUUGGAUAAUGUUUCUAGAAACUUCGGGAAAUUCAAAGCGUUUGAAAAUUAUCAGAAACGCCGUGUUAAAAUUGUGAGACGGAGAGAGAAAGAGAUAAACAUAGCAGAGUUUCAGAGGAGACGAUGUGUUCCGCCCACUUUUGGGCCGACCCAAAAUUAUUGGCCCAUACCCCAAACUUAUAAAUAAAGCCUUUGUUGCGAGCCCGAUUCUUAUGGGCUUAAAAAUAUAUUAUUUGGGCCAAUCUAA